This 549-nucleotide small RNA is filed under the name human gut metagenome. The record is from RNAcentral.
AUAAUACUAAAGAUGGUGCAUUAUUCUAGUCGUGCUUUUUUAUUGUGAGGGUGGGGCUAAAAAUCCACUAAAGGGCAUAUGAAUUAGGGCUUCUUGUUUGUGCGCGAAAUGCCAGUUUUGUGUGUGAGUAGGAAGAAAGAGGUAAGGGAAUGAUGUAAUGGCAUAUAUCAGGACCCCUUGUUUCGCUGAAACUUAAAAGUUUUUAAGUAAAACCUAUGGUGAGUGCCAAGACACAAAAUACAUAGAGUAGCCUGUCUUGAGUGAAUGUAUUGGGAUUAUUUUAUCAUUUAUGAAAUUGCAUUUGCAAAAGAGACUAGCAAUAAAUAAAAAGUAUGUCAAGGAAAACUUCUAGAAUGUUUGCCAGAAUUAACAGGCAAGGAAACUUAAGGAUUAAGGUACGGACUUAAGUGGCGAUCUGGUGUCUAAAGAUUAAUUUAGAUGUUCCCUUUAAAUGGAAACGGCUAUGUAGUAAUAUAUAGUAGAGAAUAGAGAAAUUCAACCAGACCUAAACCGUAAAAUUUACUUGAGUUUUUACCAUCUAAAAACUUA